RNAcentral lists this ribosomal RNA (119 nucleotides) under Pteropus vampyrus (large flying fox). Lineage: Eukaryota; Metazoa; Chordata; Mammalia; Chiroptera; Pteropodidae. The record is from RNAcentral.
GUCUAUGGCCAUGGUACCCUGAACAAACCCAAUCCCGUCUGAUCUCAGAAGCUAAGCAGGUUUGGGCUUGAUUAGUACUUGGAUAAGAGAUCACCUAAGAAGACUAGGUGCUGUAGACA